UACAGAGGGUGCAAGCGUUAAUCGGAAUUACUGGGCGUAAAGGGCGCGUAGGCGGCCAACUAAGUCAGACGUGAAAUCCCUCGGCUCAACCGGGGAACUGCGUCUGAUACUGGAUGGCUUGAAUUCGGGAGAGGGAUGCGGAAUUCCAGGUGUAGCGGUGAAAUGCGUAGAUAUCUGGAGGAACACCGGUGGCGAAGGCGGCUUUCUGGUCCGAUACUGACGCUGAGGUGCGAAAGCGUGGGGAGCGAUCCGG
Molecule: ribosomal RNA, 253 nt
Filed under: uncultured bacterium
Lineage: Bacteria
Description: partial 16S ribosomal RNA
Rfam family: Bacterial small subunit ribosomal RNA
Source: RNAcentral